UAUGGCUUUUUAUUCCUAUGUGAUUGCUGCUUUGAACUCAUGUAGGGCUGAAAGCCAUGGG
RNAcentral lists this microRNA precursor (61 nucleotides) under Ornithorhynchus anatinus (platypus). Its description in RNAcentral is "Oan-Mir-135-P4_pre stem-loop". It matches the Rfam family "mir-135 microRNA precursor family", at positions 17 to 74 of the family's 88-position model. From Rfam's summary of the family: The hairpin precursors (represented here) are predicted based on base pairing and cross-species conservation -- their extents are not known. In this case the mature sequence is excised from the 5' arm of the hairpin. Lineage: Eukaryota; Metazoa; Chordata; Mammalia; Monotremata; Ornithorhynchidae. The record is from RNAcentral.